AAUCAACCGAGAUUCCCCCAGUAGCGGCGAGCGAACGGGGAGCAGCCCGGAGUCUGAAUCAGCUUGUGUGUUAGUGGAACGGUCUGGAAAGUCCGACGGUACAGGGUGAUAGUCCCGUACACGAAAGCACACAUGCUGUGAACUCGAAGAGUAGGGCGGGACACGUGGUAUCCUGUCUGAAUAUGGGGGGACCAUCCUCCAAGGCUAAAUACUCCUGACUGACCGAUA
This 228-nucleotide ribosomal RNA is filed under the name Enterobacter hormaechei subsp. hoffmannii. Its description in RNAcentral is "partial 23S ribosomal RNA". It matches the Rfam family "Bacterial large subunit ribosomal RNA", at positions 223 to 489 of the family's 2925-position model. The record is from RNAcentral. Lineage: Bacteria; Pseudomonadati; Pseudomonadota; Gammaproteobacteria; Enterobacterales; Enterobacteriaceae.